UUGAAUUUAUGUCAUUUCCAGAUAAACUCGGCGUUUUAUGUAAAAGAUAUUUUGUGUUUUAAUAGUUCUUCUCUCUGAAGACAAUAGUUGGUUAUGGCUGUGGAUAAUAAUCAGGAUACCAAAGUUAAAGGAGAUAUACAUGUAUAUGUUUCUUUGUGGUGAAAGUGCAAGAAAUAACACCAUAUUGUGACUUACAAAAUGAUCACUCAUACUACAUGCAAUACAGGGAAAGGCAUCAAACCAAGCCUCUAGAAGACAUACAUUUGUAGAAUGUAUUUUCUAUGAUGUACAUGUACACGUCGCAGAGGAUACAACGUACUUUAUGUACCAAAAAAUCAAAUACAAAUUGUGUCAGCUCCGGUGACAAACUUAAGACGGAAGUUAACCAGAGUAUGAAAUCACCAUUAUCAAUAUGUAAAAUCCAACCAGUGACUAUAUAUUUAUUCAAAUAGUGUCAUGAAUGGAAUUAAAAAAGGACUUGGAAAAUUAACAUGUUUUAAUAUUGCUUUGUGUGUGUGAAUAAAAUUUGUCAGCAAGAA
Mytilus californianus (California mussel) is the source of this 539-nucleotide long non-coding RNA. RefSeq lists it as uncharacterized. Lineage: Eukaryota; Metazoa; Mollusca; Bivalvia; Mytilida; Mytilidae. The transcript has 3 exons. The record is from RefSeq and is a predicted model, not a curated record.